RNAcentral lists this transfer RNA (76 nucleotides) under Gammaproteobacteria bacterium. RNAcentral's name for it is "tRNA-Phe". It matches the Rfam family "tRNA". From Rfam's summary of the family: Transfer RNA (tRNA) molecules are approximately 80 nucleotides in length. Lineage: Bacteria; Pseudomonadati; Pseudomonadota; Gammaproteobacteria. The record is from RNAcentral.
GGCCGGAUAGCUCAGUCGGUAGAGCAGGGGAUUGAAAAUCCCCGUGUCCCUGGUUCGAUUCCAGGUCCGGCCACCA